RNAcentral lists this ribosomal RNA (821 nucleotides) under uncultured eukaryote. RNAcentral's name for it is "SSU rRNA". It matches the Rfam family "Eukaryotic small subunit ribosomal RNA", at positions 629 to 1426 of the family's 1831-position model. The record is from RNAcentral.
CGGUGUUUAACUGGCGUGAUGUGGGACGUCCUACCGGUGGGCUUAGCCUCGCGAGGGGCGGCCCAACUAAUAUCCCGUCGCGGUGCUCUUUACUGAGUGUCGAGUCGGGCCGGUACGUUUACUUUGAACAAAUUAGAGUGCUUAAAGCAGGCUAUCCUCGCCUGAAUACUGCGUGCAUGGAAUAAUGGAAUAGGACCUCGGUUCUAUUUUGUUGGUUUUCGGAACCCCGAGGUAAUGAUUAAUAGGGACAGAUGGGGGCAUUCGUAUUGCGACGUUAGAGGUGAAAUUCUUGGAUCGUCGCAAGACGGACAGAAGCGAAAGCAUUUGCCAAAAAUGUUUUCAUUAAUCAAGAACGAAAGUUAGAGGUUCGAAGGCGAUCAGAUACCGCCCUAGUUCUAACCAUAAACGAUGCCAGCUAGCGAUCCGCCGAAGUUCCCUCCGAUGACUCGGCGGGGCAGCUUCCGGGAAACCAAAGCUUUUGGGUUCCGGGGGAAGUAUGGUUGCAAAGCUGAAACUUAAAGGAAUUGACGGAAGGGCACCACCAGGAGUGGAGCCUGCGGCUUAAUUUGACUCAACACGGGAAACCUCACCAGGCCCAGACACCGGAAGGAUUGACAGAUUGAUAGCUCUUUCUUGAUUCGGUGGGUGGUGGUGCAUGGCCGUUCUUAGUUGGUGGAGCGAUUUGUCUGGUUAAUUCCGAUAACGAACGAGACUCUAGCCUGCUAAAUAGGCGUACCUUAUGGUAUCGCGAAGGCCCCCGGCUUCGGCCGGUGGGUUUUUACUACCAACGUACAAACAAAUCUUCUUAGAGGGACAGGCGG